UUUGCUAAAAAGAAAACCCCAAACAAAAAACGAAUGUUCAUUGCCUUGAACAUUGUCAUUCACUGCCCCAUUUACAAAAUAACUUGAAAUUUUGUGACAAUCAAACUAUUUUAUUAUAUUCACUUAAAAUUAUAUGCCUUAAAAUUAUAUUUUACUAUUUUAAGAUGACCAUCAUUUUUGCUGUCUUCACUUUCUUUGUUGCCUGGAUUUGGAACAAAGAACACAAGAUAGACAUAUGUAAAUAAUUUAUCUUGUAUACAUAUGGAUUCACAGCAGACAGAUGUAAUGGCAUUUCCAAUUACAAAGUUAUUUAGAAACACUAGAGCAAUAUCCCAUUAUCUAACCACAGUACCUGAAACCCAAUUUCCUAUUAGAUCCCAUAUGCUAGUCUUCUUUUCUGCAAAAAUUCUACAAGAGAACCUGUUCAGUUUAGGUUUAAUUUUUUUUCUUUUUCAAAUCAAUGAAAAAGGAAAGAUCUGCAAGACAAAUCACAAGUUAACUUAAACAUUUUAUUUAACAUAAUCGAUCACAAGCUACACUGGGGUAAACCUCUCAGUUUGUUGAUAUGUGGACUUAUAUAACUUCAUAUCAUUUUUGAAAUGGCUGAAGGAAAUGCUAAAUUCAAAAAAGCAUUGGCUUUCAACUAAAGAAUCCUACACUGGGUCAAAAUGGAUAAAAUAUAGAAACAAAUUCACACGCACAGAAUGUCCAAAUUCAUAUGAUGAGAGGCCUAAGUUACACUUUUCAUCGUGAAAUUCAAGAUAAUGCAACAUUCACUUGAAUUCUUAUUUCUGACAAAUGUGCUAUAUUCUAAUAUUAGGUCAAUUGAAGAGUCUGGUUUCCCUCUGCUUUAAUCCUACUACAGUGACCAGAGGGCUCUGGAAAGUCAUCUCUGUGCCACAAACUGGGCCAGGUUUCACUCAAUUCAAAGGUUCUGAAUCUAGACCCAGUGAAGGACUUAACAGUGUGUGGAGGUGGCCUGUGGACCAGCCAAACAAAGUGCCAAGAUCGUACCACAAGAUAAGCUGCCCUCCCUCUAAUUCAAAGGCAUAUAUCUGAUUACCUAUUUAAUAAAGGAACUCGUGACUAUGGCCCUGAUGUUGUG
Molecule: long non-coding RNA, 1105 nt
Filed under: Phascolarctos cinereus (koala)
Lineage: Eukaryota; Metazoa; Chordata; Mammalia; Diprotodontia; Phascolarctidae
Description: lncRNA (ENSPCIG00000031109.1)
Source: RNAcentral